AUAAGCCCUAGUGAGCUUCCACGGCCGACCACUCCACCAUCUGCGAAAUCGGAAAACCACUCACGCUCAGCCGAAUCAACCACAAUCAAUUCUUUGUGUGGAUGGAGUUUUUAUGUGGGGCGAUUGACACAAUUAAGACACGCAUGCAAAUCCAACAUAUUUAGGGCUUAUACAGAGUAUUGCUCCUGGAGUAAUGGGAUCUCUUGCUACUCACUUUGGAGUCCACAAAGAAUUUCACGUGGUUAUCAUCCUCCACCGCCUUUUAUCUUGCCUCUGGUCAUAUCCAAGUUACGCCUGCUGUUGUCGUGAAACUGCGAUGUAGGCUGCUCAUGUUGGAAACUUGAAUUACUUGCUCGUUCAGAUGGAGUCGAAUCUACACCGCCAUGCAAAGUAUGCGGAAGGGACAAAGAGUGUCGAUUCUGCAGCGACGAUUGGCUCAGCUUCUCACAUUGUGAGAAGAUGUACACAGGCCACAGCGAGUGCCGCAAAUACCCAAAGGUAGAAGGGGCAAACGCAAACGAAAUUGCCCCAACUCCAAAGGAGGAGCAAUGGGAGAGUUUGUCAUGGUGGAGAGGCGGAAGGGCUUCACGCAAGCUCUUCUAUUGGAAGGAAGGUCUUGCUUCUGCCCUGUCUUCUAAUGCCGCCAGAGAACGUCUAGAGCUUCUCCUACUCAGUGUCUUUCAGUUUGCUAGCUUGGUUGCGCACUUGUGUCAUAACUUCAAACUUGAGGUGUAGCAUGUUGUUAUAAGAAGAUUGAAGGGUGAAUUACCCGGACAGCACAGAAUACGCCAAGAGGACCAAUAAAAGGCGUCAUUUCCAAGUCUUUUAAUAGCAUGAAACUCCAAUUGAGGCUGCUCACAUUGGAAAAUUGAAGUAUUUGCUCCUUCACGUUGGUCUAUUUCCUUCACUGUGUAUUCAUCAAUUUCCUAUAUGUAGUAUACAUAUAAUCACAUUGGGCAAUGCCAAUCAAUAUUGUGCAAUUAAAGAUUUUCUAGGCAGAGGCCGUUGGAGGUUGUACUAUUAGGCGAUGCCAUUCAAAAUGUGCGGUCUAAGAGCAUGAGCAACUAGGAGUACUAGUAGUAGUAGUGAACUUCACUUGCACAAAGAUUGCACACACUAUUACAAAGAGUGGUGUCUUACACAGUGGUUAAGGUGGUUGAAGCAGAGGCGUUCAAGGUGGAGGUGGACAAGAGGGGGCGGAGAUGAAGAAAUCGAUUCCACACCAAAAACCUGAGAAAUUGAUUUGAAUUUAAACGAAGAGGCCGAGGAAGCCAGCACGAGCGCCACAAAAACUAUGCGAUGGUUCGAUGUAAAGGAGGAUCGAUUCGAGAAGCUUCCCCCCCCCUUCUUCCAUGACUCCAUGUUCGCUGAUAUCCAUUUUGCGCUCAGGGUUGGUGGUAGUAUGGUGGAGUGUUUGAAUGAGUUUGUAGUUGAUGGGAAUGGUGAUGAGUGCUAUCUGGAUAAAGCAAAGCAGAAGGUUGGAGACGAAGAAAUCGAUUCCACACCAAAAACCAGAGAAAUUGAUUUGAAACAAUGAGAUGGUUCGAUUUGAACAUCGAAUUGAAGGAGGAUCAAUUCGAGGAGCAGUUGUCAGGGAUGGUGGUUAACGACAAGGGGAAGGACAUCAAUGAAGAAGAGGAUGACGACUGCAUGAUUGUACUAUUAUGCAAUGCCAUUCAAGAUUGUGUUGUCUAAGAGCAUGAACAACUAGGAGUUCUAUUAAUGCACUUCACUUGCCCAAAGAUUGUACACAGUCUUACACAAAGUGGUUAACGUGGUUGAAUCAGAGGCAUUCAUGGCGGAUGUAGGCAUGAGGGGGAGGAGACGAUGAAAUCGAUUCCACACCAAAAACCAGAGAAAUUGAUCUGAAUCUGGAUUUAAACGAAGAGGAUGGGGAAGCCAACACGAGCGCCAUGACAACGGUGAGGUGCCAUGGAAUUGCUGGAGAAUGGAGAAUAGAAGUAUUGAAGAAUAGGGGUGGAGGCAAUGGUGGUAGUAUUGUGGACGAGUGUUUGAAUGAGUUUGUUGUUGAUGGAAUGGUGAUGCGUGCUAUCUAGAUAAAGCAAAGAAGAAGAAGGGCGGAGACGAAGAAAUCGAUUCCACACCAAAAACCAGAGAAAUUGAUUUCCAACAAUGAGAUGGUUCCACUUGAACAUCAAAUUGAAGGAGGAUCAAUUCGAGGAGCAGUUGUCAGCAAUGGUGGUCGACAAUAAAGGGAGUUGGCCUCAAGAUGGUCUGCUGAAGAUAACCAACAAGUCAGCAGAACAGAUCAUAGGGAGCUGUUGGCGGUGAUCUCAAACAAGCAUGUCCUGUUUUCAUGGUCAAAUCUAUCAAAUCUCAGAUGUGUGGGUAGGCUUUUGUUGCAAAGUUCCUGAUUUAGAUAGAGUUCGAUUGUUCAUAACAAGCAAUAGUGUUCAUGUCCUGUUUUCAUGGUCAAAUCUAUCAAAUCUCAGAUGUGUGGGCAGGCUUUUGUUGCAAAGUUCCUGAUUUAGAUAGAGUUUGAUUGUUCAUAACAAGCAAUAGUGUUCAUGUCCUGUUUUCAUGGUCAAAUCUAUCAAAUCUCAGAUGUGUGGGUA
Molecule: long non-coding RNA, 2576 nt
Organism: Salvia splendens (bonfire salvia)
Lineage: Eukaryota; Viridiplantae; Streptophyta; Magnoliopsida; Lamiales; Lamiaceae
Exons: 7
Source: RefSeq, a predicted model, not a curated record